Molecule: ribosomal RNA, 496 nt
Filed under: Lonchodinae sp. 1 JAR-2018
Lineage: Eukaryota; Metazoa; Arthropoda; Insecta; Phasmatodea; Lonchodidae
Description: partial 16S ribosomal RNA
Rfam family: Bacterial large subunit ribosomal RNA (bases 370-496)
Source: RNAcentral
UGAUUUAAUAUGAGGUUUGACCUGCUCUAUGAUUUAUUAAAUGGCCGCGGUAUUUUGACUGUGCAAAGGUAGCAUAAUCAUUAGUUUAUUAAUUGUGAACUUGUAUGAAUGGUUUGACGAAAUAUUAACUGUUUCUUAUAUAAAAUUAGAAUUUAAAUUUUGAGUUAAAAUGCUUAAAUUUAUUUUAUUAGACGAGAAGACCCUAUAGAUCUUUAUUAUUUUUUAUAUUAUAUUUUUGGUUUUAUUUAAUAUUCUGAAUUUUUUUUGGGGUGACAUGGAGAAAGUUUUAAUUAAACUCUUUUUUUUUAUUUACAUUUAUUUAUGAAUAUUUGAUUUUAUUUUAAUUAUUAAAGAUUAAGAUACCUUAGGGAUAACAGCGUUAUUUUUUUUGAGAGUUCAUAUUGACAAGGAAGAUUGCGACCUCGAUGUUGGAUUAAGAUUAUUAAAAGGUGCAGCAGCUUUUUUAAUAGGUCUGUUCGACCUUUAAAUUCUUACA